This 9233-nucleotide long non-coding RNA is filed under the name Equus caballus (horse). RNAcentral describes it as "lncRNA (ENSECAG00000054083.1)". Lineage: Eukaryota; Metazoa; Chordata; Mammalia; Perissodactyla; Equidae. The record is from RNAcentral.
GAUUUGUAACGAUCUGGGCCUGGCCAGCCCGGAUCCUCCCUUAUCCCACGAGAAGAACAGCACGUCUUACAGGGACACAGAGACCCUCCAUGUGAGCUACUGUCCUGGGAACGCUGGUCGUACCAAGGGAAGCCCUUUGGCAGGCAUGCAGCCUUUGUUCCUCUGCCUGCUUAAGCAAGCUUCUCUUAGGGGCCGGUUGCGGGUGCACACUUCUGUCCAGCCGGCCGCUACUGGACACGCAAGUGGAAAGGGAGUUUCAGCAUCAUUGAAUGACUUUCUUUUGGUCAUAGAAUUAAUAUGGAACAGAAAAACAGCUUAACGUCUCCUGACACCAAAGCCCAUGCUCAAUUCAUUAAUCCUUGUUGGAUCCAGACAGGAGAAGAGGGCUCAUUGCCAGCAUCGCGACAGCUUCCCUAACUGAUUUCAUGACACCUCUGAAAAAGGCAAAAUGCUGUGCUGCCACUUAAACAAAGCUAUGGCCAGACCGUGUGGUGAAGGCAAAGUGAGCGGGACCCGGUCGAGGACAGAAAUCUAAUCCUCCAGUGUUGAACCGGCGUGCUCAGCAGGAGGUGAGAUGCCUGCCACAGCAUGGCUUGGUAAGCAGUGCAUAGGUCCAUGCCUGGGAUUCGAAUGGCUGCGGGAGCUGAGCACGUGAACUUAACCACUGAGCCAUCGGGCAGGCCCCUUGCCAAGACUCACAGAACGAGAAAGACAAGCAUCGGAGUUGAGACCCAUGAAGGACGGCCCGAAUGUUUAGCCGGAAAUAGAUUUGCCCUCACACACAGGAAAGCCCAGCUUCCAGUGACCUCAAGUUUUGAUUGGACUAAGAUGAAUCAGGAUUUCAUGUGACUCUUCAAACUUAAAUCAGGUAUAUUAUCUCUGUAGUUCUCAAAUUAUCUCUCUAUAUUUUUCAUAUUUAAUGUUCAAUGCCAAAAGAGAGGACAAAAAAAAAUACCCAAACAAAUCAAACAAACCCACAGACUAUUCAGAUAAUGGAAUUACCGUGCAACCUUUAAAGUCACUAGGUCUGAGAGUUAAAAGAAAAUUUUAAAACACUGGAGAAUUAUGUCAGAUGACAGUAAACUAUUUAAAAAGAACCAACAUAAGAAGCAAAUCUUGAGAGCGCCAUGCCAUGAGAAGGCCACAGUACUUCGAGAGGCCACCUGGAGGUACCUCCACCAGCAGUCUGGGAGUUACCCCAACCCAAGGACAGCUGUGGCAGCAAGUGAAUCUUCACAUGACGAAGUCACGGUAGUCUUUGAUUCUCCUCAGGUGACAGCCCAGAGCCGAAAUAAACCAUCUCCAUUGUGUUGGAAUUCCCGGGCCACAGAAACUGUGAGACUAAAAGAAAGAAAAUUUUUUUAAGUUGUUUUAAACGACUGUGUUUUGGAGAAAUUUGUUCUGUGGCAAUAGUAACUAGAAUACUAUUAAACUUGAAGAUUAUUAUACCUAACAAUUUAACAACUUUAUCACCAGAAAGAGUCAUACCUGUGCACACAGAGACAUAUAAUAAUGGCCAUUGUAGUGUCUUCAUAAAAGUGAAAAAUAUAGAAAACAAAGGAUGCAGCAAUGGGAGAAUCGAUACCAAAUUGGUGGUACAUAUGUGCGAUAAUUUACCAUUAAUAGGAUCAUAAGAUAAAGCUCUAGGUGUCUGCAUGUUUCAACUUGGAAUAAAAAUGGCCAAGAAGAUGCAGCAGAAUUGGGUGGCACUGUAGUUUUCCUCAUUGGAUGACACCUUUUCUUUGGACUCCACUUUUUACUUCAGGGCAAUAAGGUUUUUGUUGGUUUGUUUGUUUCUAGAUGAUUAUGGCGAUAACUUUCAGCUUAAAAAUGUUCAUAACUCUAUAUUACAGUCUUAGCUCAACUCUGUACAGAACUCUAAACCAAUAUUAAUGUCUAUUUUCUACUUAUUCAACUUGAAAUUUACAAAUGUGUAUUCUUUAAGCAAGAAAAGAAGGACAACUCUAGAUAGACAUUCAAUAAAAAAAAAUCACUAAAAACAAAGUCUUUGUGAACUAACAGCAGACUGGCACAACCUUUGGCUUCCAGGCUUAUUGUGUCUGUGAAGUCCUGGAUCUUCAUUCAUUGUGCUCUUACUAAUUACACUGAGUUCAAGUCAAUCAAGUGCAAUCCCAUAGUGACCUCAGUGGUUACUGUUUUUUUUUUUUUUUUGAGGAAGACUGGCCCUGAGCUAACAUCUGUGUUCGUCUUCCUCUACUUUAUAUGUGGGACUCCUACCACAGCAUGGCUUGACCAACCGUGCCAUGUCCACACCCGGGAUCCGAACCGGUGAGCCCUGGGGCCACCGAAGCAGAACAUGCGCACUUAACUGCUGUGCCACUGGGCAGCCCCUCAGUGGUUGCUCUUAAUUGUGAACUUUGCAGAAGUACAUCUCCCACUGGAAAUGGAGAGGGUAGGGGCUGGCCCCGUGGCCAAGUGGUUAAGUUUGCGUGCUCUGCUUUGGCAGCUCAGGGUUUCACUGGUUCGGAUCCUGGGCACAGACACAGCCCCGCUCAUCAGGCUAUGCUGAGGUGGCGUCCCACAUAACAGAACCAGAGGGACCUACAACUGGGAUGCACAGCUGUGUACUGGGGGACUUUGGGGACAAGAAAGGGGAAAAAAGAAACGCCAACCUUUAAAAAAUAAAAAGGAAUGGAGAGGAUAAAAGGAUAUCUUAUUAUUAAAAUAACAAUAAUGUACUUUUCAGUGUAGAAAGUACAAGGACUAAGGGAAGAAGACGUUUUCUGUAGGACUUUCUUGUUUUUGUAACUAACCUACUUUUACUUGCAAUUGUUUGAUACUGGGUGCAAUUAACUAAUUUGAGUGUUAGAUCCUUCACAUUGGCAUCAGAAAACAAUAGCAGGCAGAGAAAGCUCCCCCAUGAAUGUAAUAUUCAGCUGCCAAACAUUUUGAAAGUCAGCUUUUAAAGUCGUAUCAACUAGAUAAAUUCGACUGACAGUAUUUUUUUUCCUUACACUUUAAAUUUCUCCUCUGGAAAAUAGCAAUUAGUGUUCUCGGGCAUCAUGACAUUAUCGACUCACUAAGUGUAGAUCUGGUGUACUAAAGUUCUAGGAAUGGCAGAAUUUGCUUUUCAUGUCUGACUGGACUCACAUAUUCCAAGAAAAUAAUAUCAGAAUUAAAAUAACGGUGCAUAAUAUUAAUAUGAAUUUGAAUGUAUUGAAUUUCCAAAAAUAUAGUGUCACACUCUAGGAGUCUUGGAAAGUGCAGAUGUUUGUGUCUAGAGCUUAAUCAUGUCUGAUCCAUCCUUGUUAUUCUUUUGGCUGGACUUGCUGUACAAAGAUAAUGUUCGUGAUGGGAUUGUUAAAAAGGAGAAGAAUUUUCCUAGCUGUUGUUGUCUAAAAAUGUAGCUAAUGCUUUCUUAUGUUUGAGGAAAAGCUCAAUAAUGACAAUCAUUGAUUGUGGACUACGAAGAGCUCUUGGUUGGAGGUCAAAGGAGUGUAUAUUGUUACUACAUAAACCCUGUGUCGCUUCUUUAUCUCUAAAAGGGAGAAAAAAUCAUGAUAGUUGACAGCUUCCUUCUGAAACUAUACUAUUUAUAAUUAAAAUCAAGAGUGCAAACAGAUUCUUUACAAGUUGUUGUUGUUGCUGUUUUUAAUUUGCAAAACUCUGCAAAACAGACAAGCUUUGUGUUUCUAUAUUUGCACAAAAUGUGUUAUGAGCCCCACGGUAAUGGUGUUGUUUAACCUAAUGUAAUGCUCUGCCAGUGAUGAGGACAAAGCCAUCUUAAUGGGGGUGGUAGUGAGAGUGGAUUUACGCGAAGGACAUCUCCAAUCAUUGCUGCUGUCCAUCAUCCGGGGAAGAGGUUCUGUUUCAUACCUAAUAACACACCUGAGGAAACAAAUCUGAAGCUUAGACGGGGACAGGGGUUGGGAAUUCAUUACAUGGGGGAAGCUUUUUCCUCCCCUGAGAUGACCCCAGAAUGGGAUAUGGCUAGUGAGCAAGAUAGCUGGGAUAAGAUCAUAAAUCUUUAUUAUAUCAAUAAUAAUAUGCUUCCUUGUGACACAUUGCAAUCUUUGGCAUCUCAUGAAAUAUUUCUGAUAGAUGCCAUUCCCACUAUGCCUCCUAAUGCUCACUAACCAGGGAAGUUAUGGAAAUGCAAAUUACAGAAAGAGCAUCAACGACAGUGUGAGCAGGGACUCAAAGUACACACCGCGAUGUCAACUCUCUUCCCUACCACAACGUUUCCCCCUUCCCCUCACAUAAAAACUGAAGACACUUAUAUAUAUACAUUUUUAUUUACUUUUAUAUUCAUAUAAUUUCCAUAAUCUGAACAUCGUUUCUUCAUUAAAGGAAAGAAUUAGACUAGUCAGUGAGUUCCAAACACUUAUUUUCAACAGAAGAAACCUUUAUUGAAUAAAUGCGUAUAUAGAAUCCCCAUGUAAAACAUAAAAGUAAAGUUGUUUUCUUUGAAUCAUAUGUGAAAGCAAUGAGGCUGGAUUUGUACCGUUAAAGAAACAGAAUCAGUAGCAAAAUCUAAUACAAACAAAAUCUCAUGUUCCAAGAAUUUCACAGGGAAAUUUUUCUGUAUGUUCGGGGAACAGAAGGCCCUAGUUUAUAGUCAGAUGAUAUGAAAGAAAGCAGGCUCUCAAACAUGUUUUAUGAAACUUAUAAACCAUUAUAUCAACUCGCCCCCUGAGAGAACGAUGCAAGAAAGUAAGAUUAUAGAUAAAUAACAUUUUGAGGUUAAAUGCAAAAAUCCUAACUAAAAUGCUAUAAACAGAAUUUUAUGGCCUUAUACACACAAGCACACACACAUACACAAAUUAUGGUUUAUCUAAAGAUCAAAAACUUUGAUAAAUAAAAUCUUGGUAAAAAUUAGGGAAAUGGUGAAACAGGUGCUCUUGAUAAGGUUUGUGUGUGUAUAAUUAGUAAAAUAACUAUGUAGGAGAAUUUGUCAACACAAAUUGCAAUUUCAAAUGCACUGCACACAGGCCUAAUGACCACGGCUAUCUGAUGAAUGUCCCUACAUGUGUGAACUCAAGUAACUAAGGAUAUUCAAUGCAAUGUGAUUGUAGUAGUGAAAAAUUGGAAGCCAUCUAAAUAUCAUCCAGUAGCAGUUGUCAAGUAAAUUAUGAAAAAUAUGUCUAAUGGAAUUUUAUACAAGAAAUACAGAUAUCUAUUCAGCUUCAGUGAACCACGUGCAAUUUCCCAAGCCCACUGGAACCCACAUAAGAUACCCUGUAACAUUCAAUUUAAGAACUUCAACUCCAACGUGGCAAAUCUUCCAAGCACGAUUAGCAUUAAUUAUUUAACAUGAUUAGUGUCUAUAGUAUGCUAUAAUUUUAAUGAGGCUGAGAUUGAGGCUAGGUUCAUUGGAGCACAAAUCUUUCUCCUGUGUUCUUUUUCUUUUAAAACCUUUUGAUUUUCACAUCUGAACAACAAAUGCAGUCUAAUGUCCACAGAUAACCCUGCUUGAAGAAUAAGGUUCCCGGAAGCUCUUAUUGAGAAGACACUCUGGUGCCCCCUUUCGAUUCCCUCUACUUUCAAAGCGUUUCUUCUUGCUACAUCCAGAGGUGUCCAUAUCAACACACACAUCUUAGACAGAGAUAAAAACUCUUCUGCGUCCUCAGGUUCAUCAAGCCCUCUGUCCCGAGAACUGCCUGUUCUUACUGAGCUCAUUCCCCGAAUCGUUAGUAAUCAACUGCCGUGAUGUUAAAGAUGGAAAUCUAAUUACGAGAAAUGGAAGCGUGUGCGCGCUUACCAAUUACAUGCUCAACACAGGUAAUAUUUUCCUCCAUAAAAAGUGAUCUGUUUAGAGUUUUUAUGGAUAAACAUCCUAAUAAAGUUUCCGAUUGUUCUGACAUAUCAUAAGUAAUAAAUAUAAUAAUUUCCUUCUUAUUGAUUGGAAGACCAGAGUAAACCUAGUAAAGAUAGUAGACUUUAAAAGGGCGCAUAAGGCAACUGGAUCAUUAAUAAAUGGUGAUGUUAAAGGAUUACUUAUCUUUUAUAUAUAUAUGUGUGUGUGUGUGUAUAUAUAUAUAUAUACACAUAGGAUAUACAUAUACUUAUAUACAUACUUAUCCUAUUUACUUAUAUACUUAACCUCUACACACACACACACACACACACACACACACACACUCACACAGGUUAACAAGACUGCAGUGUGUGUGGAUGGGUUUGGAGGUUAAUCUCUUCUCAUCUACCUUUUUUCAGAUAGGAUUCCUGUUUUAAACAUUUGUUGGAGGUAGUGAAUAUAAACUUCUCAUUACAAUGGUGAUAAAUCUAUCUGCUAAGAUAGCUUUUUCUUUUGGGGACAUUUUGUUUUGGAUUUUCCAAUCUAUAAUCAACAUGCAGAAAUGGGGCAAUUCAAGAAAGUUGUUACAGAACUAAUAGAGUUAUCACAGGACACUUGCAAAAAAUAGGCAGAACUCAUGAUAUACAAGCUUUUCUGAAUGUGUUUCUAAUGUAAUCAUCUAUUUAGUCAUUACUUGCUUCUCCAGAAGUAUCCAUUUCCAACUGAAAAUAAAGUUUUAGUGCUUGCAAGAAUGAUACUAUUUGUUAAAAUUUUAGCACCCUCAGCACUUAGGAAGAAAGUUUCGUUUCAAGUCUACUUUAGAUGUUAUGUCCUCUUUUAUUGAAUUAGUUUCUGGUUGUUCAGAUUUUAAAGUUUUGUCAUUGAAAAUUACAUUAUUUGUUAUGGGAAUAUCUCAGUUUUAAUAAAAUUUAACCCCAACAUAUUGAAAAUAUUUUACAAAAUGGUGCCUACAUACUUGUAAAAAAUAUGCUUUUAAAAGCAACUCGUUUUCCAUUGAUGAAAGAUUUUUGGCUAUAUUGUCUCCUCCAAUAGUCACAAUAAUGCUGCAAGGAAGGCAAUAUUUCACUUUAGAGAUAAAAAAUAGAGGUUCAGUUAUGAAGUGUUUGCUUAUAAUGUUACUUAGUGGCAGAAUUGGAAGUGCCUUCAAUUUAGUUAAUCCAUUUAUUUACUUGUUACAUAUAGACGUCAUCUCUAUGCAUUCAUGAUCUGUGAGAAGCAGACAGUCGCCUGCUCAUCUACUCCUUUAUUUUGUAGCAAACAUAACAGUAGGUUGGACUGAUCCUACCUGUCAAUCCUGGAAUUGGGCCCUGAUGGGCCUAUCCAGUUAGAAGUUCCUCCUACUUUGCCAUUGCUAGUGUUUCAAGGAAGCCUUAACAACCGAGGCUUAUGGAAAUCAGCACAUGGCAAUCACCAGCCACAAUGACCGAGUCAGGAGUGGCCACUUAGGUCCACCAAUCAGGCCCGAGAUUUGUGUUCAAUGGAUAUUGAAGGGAAUCUUGCAGUCCCUCAGGAUGUGGACAAUGAAGUAUGUUACUUGAGAAGCUGAAGGUGACCAUCAUGCAACCAAAAGAGCAGACCUUAAUAUAAUUUGAGACUGAUGGAGGCAGAGCAGAGAGAAAGAAACAGACUAGGUCCUUGCUGUUGUAAGUGAGAUGUUGAUUGUAACUGAUCAGAAGUCCACCUUAUCUGUGCCCUUGCCGAUUUCUAUUCUGUUACUUUCUACUGAUAACAGUCUGUUAUUAUAUUUCAACUUAGGAAAAAAACACUUAUUCUUGUUUACAAAGGCAUCUUAAAGCAUUAAUUCACAAUCACAGAGAUUUCACUAUAUGAAGAUGAUUGAUGUUAUUUAAUUGACUUUGUUUAACAACGUAUAAUUUAUUGAUUUUCCUUUUGACUCUUUGUAGUAAAAGACUUGAUAGGUAGCAGCUCUUUUUCAAAUUAGGUUGUUGAAGAUGGUGAUGAAAUUCCCAAAUACUCUUUCUGCUGGGAUUAAGGAGCAGAGAUAGAUAUUCGGAACCCAACUUCCUGCCAGUCACUCUCACUGACCUCAGCUGAAGCAGCCUCCUCUCUGGAAGGUCUCCAGCCUGAAAACUAGCAUCCAGAGUUCAGAGCUUCCAGACCUUAAGGAUCACGGACUAUAACCUGGAGAAUUUAUUUAUCAAAAGAGGCAUCAAAUAAAAGACUCUUUGCAGCAUGUUGGAAAGGACCAUACUAGGAUGAGAAGAAGAUGCCAUCUGUUGUAGACAGCUGUCCCAAGACUCCUGACCAGGGCUAUAAACCAAAUGCUGCUAAUUGUCACCCAUCUACAAGUUCACAUGAAGUCAUGGCUACAUCUGUCUAAACUGGGCCACCCUCACCUCUCACUUGUCUGACUCAGGGGCAGUGUACAACAAUGGAAGCAAUGUCACCCCCUAAGAGACAUUUAGGAAAUGUGCAAAAAGCUAUAUGGUUCUCACAACGAUUGGUGGGUGCUACUGACUUUGCAUAGGUAGGGAUGAGAGAGCCUAGAAAGCUGAGAUGCAACUUUGUUCUGCACAACAAAGAAAUCUUCAAUGUCUGCAGGAAUCUCCAGCGUCCAGCAAUGCAAACCUCAGCAUGAGUACGUCCCAAGAGCUGGACAGGAAGAGUGCCACCCCAGCCCCACCCAGCACAAACACUCAAAAAGUGAGCUUAUUAAAGAAUUUAGGGGGUGCCUCCUUCACUUGGGAUCCACACAGCUGUUAUAGCCCUAAAUGUCCUCUCUUUUUAUCAGGCCCCAGGGAAACACUCAUUUUAACAUCUUCAAAACAAAAGAUGACUGUGUCUGAAUGCGGUGAGAUUUCUGGGUGCUGUCGCUGCUUGAAGGGGUGCAGGGAGUACUUGAGAGACAUAAAUGCUUACACAGAGAAAAGGAAAAUUAACUCGUCAAGUUCUUUCUUUCAGGUAACAUAAAUGCAAUCAAUUCUGGAAUAAUUAGAAACUGUUUGCUGUUUGCAAGAAGUGCUGAGCAUCCAUUUUCUUGUUUCUCUCGAUGCUCCAGUUUGUGGUUCCAGAGUUAUUCACAAAUUCAUGUUAUGGUCUGAACACUUGUACUUGGCUCCAUAAGGAACAUUUUAAAACAUGAGGUAGUUCAUAUUACUCUUAAAUCUGUGUAUUUGCAGGCCUGUAUGUAAUGAGCAAGAAACAAGAUACCAAUUCAUUACACUGGCCACAAAAAGGACACUGAAUGCUAAAUGUUGAGAAUAGUUGUAUUUUAUAAACUUGCCUAAUAUGAAUUAAUUAAAAUUUCUACUUAUUUAAAUAUGUUUGAUUUGAAAUUUGGUAUUAAUUUAUAUAAAUAUGAGGUUUGCCUUUUAAUUUAAUAAAGUGUUAAAUAAAACUUCUUUGGAAAACAUAAAUUUAAAAAAGUCCAACAAUUUAGGAGGAGGUCAUUAUUGAGGAGGGGACUCAAAUAUUAGUCAUAGCUUUGUCCUGG